CUCAGCAAGCUGAGCACCUGCAGAGAGCUCAGUGCUGUGCUAGGGGCUAGUCAUUCAUUCCGUGCAGGACGUUUACUGAGCACCUACCCUCCGCUGGACAUUGGAAUACAAAAUAGAAAGGACGGUUCCUGUGUUCAGAUUGCUCAGAGUCCAGGCAAGGAGAAGCUGUUGAACAAGCAAGCAUGCAGCAGUCUUGUGGCAGAGGUGAGGGCCCAGGGUGACCUAAGAGAAAGCCAUUACUCUGGUGCUGAGGAAGAAGAACGUAAUGAUGAUAUGUGACCCCAGGCCCUGAAGGGCUUGGAUGGACUCCGCUUUAGAGCACAGCAUGUCUUCAUCUGGGCAGGGAUGAAGAGGUACCACCUUCCUGUCUCUUUCUUGGGGUCACUGUUUCAUCUCCAGAUAGUAAAUAUAGUUCUAUUUCCUGAGUGAGUAUUAUGUGCCUGGAAUCAUCCUUGCAUUCUUCUCACGAGAAAAUGCUGCAAUAGGGAAUAUCACCACCACUUAAUAAAUGGAUGACUCCCAUCACCAAAGAAGA
Long non-coding RNA from Suricata suricatta (meerkat), 535 nucleotides. RefSeq lists it as uncharacterized. The record is from RefSeq and is a predicted model, not a curated record. The transcript has 2 exons. NCBI's taxonomy places the organism in Eukaryota, Metazoa, Chordata, Mammalia, Carnivora, Herpestidae.